GCCUAACACAUGCAAGUCGAACGCGAAAGGCUUGAAGCCUUCGGGCGGAGGGCCGAGUGAGUGGCGAACGGGUGAGGAACACGUAGGUGACCUGCCCCGGAGGGGGGGAUAACCGUCGGAAACGGCGGCUAAUACCCCAUAAGCUCACGAGGGUUAGAGGCUUUGUGAGAAAAGCUCCGGCGCUCCGGGAGGGGCCUGCGGCCCAUCAGCUAGUUGGUAGGGUAAAGGCCUACCAAGGCGAAGACGGGUAGGGGGCCUGAGAGGGUGGUCCCCCACAUGGGAACUGAGACACGGUCCCAACUCCUACGGGAGGCAGCAGUAAGGAAUAUUGCACAAUGGGCGCAAGCCUGAUGCAGCAACGCCGCGUGCCCGAGGACGGCCUUCGGGUUGUAAAGGGCUUUUCUGGCNGAAGAGNANACA
Molecule: ribosomal RNA, 420 nt
Filed under: uncultured bacterium
Lineage: Bacteria
Description: bacterial SSU rRNA
Rfam family: Bacterial small subunit ribosomal RNA
Source: RNAcentral